RNAcentral lists this ribosomal RNA (253 nucleotides) under uncultured bacterium. RNAcentral's name for it is "partial 16S ribosomal RNA". It matches the Rfam family "Bacterial small subunit ribosomal RNA", at positions 524 to 776 of the family's 1533-position model. The record is from RNAcentral.
UACGUAGGGGGCUAGCGUUGUCCGGAAUCAUUGGGCGUAAAGAGCGUGUAGGCGGCCCGGUAAGUCCGUUGUGAAAGUCAAAGGCUCAACCUUUGAAAGCCGAUGGAUACUGCAGGGCUAGAGUCCGGAAGAGGCGAGUGGAAUUCCUGGUGUAGCGGUGGAAUGCGCAGAUAUCAGGAGGAACACCAAUAGCGAAGGCAGCUCGCUGGGACGGUACUGACGCUAAGGCGCGAAAGCGUGGGGAGCGAACAGG